GUACUUGCUUCGGCAGUACAUUUACUAAAAUUUUGGAACGAUACAGAGAAGAUUAGCAUGGUCCCUGCGCAAGGAUGACACCUAUCCCCUGCACUAAGCAGACCCGAUAUCU
Small nuclear RNA from Stegodyphus dumicola, 112 nucleotides. The record is from RefSeq and is a predicted model, not a curated record. NCBI's taxonomy places the organism in Eukaryota, Metazoa, Arthropoda, Arachnida, Araneae, Eresidae.